This 496-nucleotide ribosomal RNA is filed under the name uncultured bacterium. RNAcentral describes it as "partial 16S ribosomal RNA". It matches the Rfam family "Bacterial small subunit ribosomal RNA", at positions 28 to 506 of the family's 1533-position model. The record is from RNAcentral.
GAUGAACGCUGGCGGCGUGCCUAAUACAUGCAAGUCGAGCGAACAGACGAGGAGCUUGCUCCUCUGACGUUAGCGGCGGACGGGUGAGUAACACGUGGAUAACCUACCUAUAAGACUGGGAUAACUUCGGGAAACCGGAGCUAAUACCGGAUAAUAUAUUGAACCGCAUGGUUCAAUAGUGAAAGACGGUUUUGCUGUCACUUAUAGAUGGAUCCGCGCCGCAUUAGCUAGUUGGUAAAGUAACGGCUUACCAAGGCAACGAUGCGUAGCCGACCUGAGAGGGUGAUCGGCCACACUGGAACUGAGACACGGUCCAGACUCCUACGGGAGGCAGCAGUAGGGAAUCUGCCGCAAUGGGCGAAAGCCUGACGGAGCAACGCCGCGUGAGUGAUGAAGGUCUUCGGAUCGUAAAACGCUGUUAUUAGGGAAGAACAAAUGUGUAAGUAACUAUGCACGUCUUGACGGUACCGAAUCAGAAAGCCACGGCUAACUACGU